GAUGAACGCUGGCGGCGUGCCUAAUACAUGCAAGUCGAGCGAACAGACGAGGAGCUUGCUCCUCUGACGUUAGCGGCGGACGGGUGAGUAACACGUGGAUAACCUACCUAUAAGACUGGGAUAACUUCGGGAAACCGGAGCUAAUACCGGAUAAUAUAUUGAACCGCAUGGUUCAAUAGUGAAAGACGGUUUUGCUGUCACUUAUAGAUGGAUCCGCGCCGCAUUAGCUAGUUGGUAAGGUAACGGCUUACCAAGGCAACGAUGCGUAGCCGACCUGAGAGGGUGAUCGGCCACCUGGGAACUGAGACACGGUCCAGACCCCGAGGGGAGGAGGCAGGGGGAAAUCUGGCACAAGGGGAGAAGGCCGGAGGGAGAAACGCCGGGGGAGUGAUGAAGUUUUGCGGAUCGAAAAACUUUUUUAUGGGGAAAGAAAAAAUGUGAAAGAACAUAUGCGCGUCUUGAGGGUACCUAAUAAAAAAGCCAGGGCUAACUCCGUG
This 497-nucleotide ribosomal RNA is filed under the name uncultured bacterium. RNAcentral describes it as "partial 16S ribosomal RNA". It matches the Rfam family "Bacterial small subunit ribosomal RNA", at positions 28 to 507 of the family's 1533-position model. The record is from RNAcentral.